UGAGGAUGAUGAGCAGGAGUUGUUC
Molecule: non-coding RNA, 25 nt
Filed under: Mus musculus (house mouse)
Lineage: Eukaryota; Metazoa; Chordata; Mammalia; Rodentia; Muridae
Source: RNAcentral